CUACGGGGCGCUCCAGUGGGGAAUAUUGCACAAUGGACGAAAGUCUGAUGCAGCAACGCCGCGUGGAGGAUGACACAUUUCGGUGCGUAAACUCCUUUUAUAUCCCAAGAUAAUGACGGUAGGAUAUGAAUAAGCGCCGGCUAACUCCGUGCCAGCAGCCGCGGUAAUACGGAGGGCGCAAGCGUUACUCGGAAUCACUGGGCGUAAAGAGCGUGUAGGCGGAUAGAUAAGUUGGGAGUGAAAUCCUAUGGCUUAACCAUAGAAUUGCUUCCAAAACUGUCUAUCUAGAAUAUGGGAGAGGUAGAUGGAAUUUCUGGUGUAGGGGUAAAAUCCGUAGAGAUCAGAAGGAAUACCGAUUGCGAAGGCGAUCUACUGGAACAUUAUUGACGCUGAGACGCGAAAGCGUGGGGAGCAAACAGGAUUAGAUACCCGAGUAGUC
Molecule: ribosomal RNA, 439 nt
Filed under: uncultured bacterium
Lineage: Bacteria
Description: partial 16S ribosomal RNA
Rfam family: Bacterial small subunit ribosomal RNA
Source: RNAcentral